Molecule: unclassified non-coding RNA, 302 nt
Filed under: uncultured Sordariomycetes
Lineage: Eukaryota; Fungi; Ascomycota; Sordariomycetes
Description: sequence contains ITS1
Rfam family: 5.8S ribosomal RNA (bases 1-105)
Source: RNAcentral
GAAAUGCAAUAAGUAAUGUGAAUUGCAGAAUUCCGUGAAUAGUCGAAUCUUUGAACGCACAUUGCGCCCGCAGGAGUGCUGGCGGGCAUGCGUGUUCGAGCGUCAUUUCAACCAUCAAGCCCCCGGGCUUGCGUUGGGGACCUGCGGCUGCCAGCAGGCCCUGAAAACCAGUGGCGGGCUCGCUGUCACCCCGGUCGUAGUAGUAUCAUCUCGUCCAGGGCGUGGCUGCGGGCUCCGGCCGUUAAACCUUCUCAAACCCAAAGGUUGACCUCGGAUCAGGUAGGAAUACCCGCUGAACUUAA